This is a long non-coding RNA of Strigops habroptila (Kakapo), 2438 nucleotides long. The record is from Ensembl. Lineage: Eukaryota; Metazoa; Chordata; Aves; Psittaciformes; Psittacidae.
AAUACAACGUAUAAGUUUUAAUGCAUUUUCAUCCAAUAUACAAGCAUUUGUGAGUAUCAGCUACUGAGCUAUAGUUCAUAGCAAAAUAACAAAGCAUCAAGCUAGUUGUGCAAAUCCUUUUCUUAGUUUCUUGGCAAGCAACAGAAAGAACUGAAAAAUAUCUACUUAAUUAAUUUCAAACACACAGCAGAAGCUUGGUAAGUACAUUUCAUACAUGAAGAACAACCAAAACCCAUUUUCAUCAAGUAGCACAUACAUGAGAAGCCUGCAUCUACAGUUAGAGUAAUUCUAGUGCAAGAUUUAUAUGUAUAAAACUACUUUCUUCUAGUAACCUAUGAGGCCUUUUGAUAAAUCCAAGAGUUAUCAGACUAUAAUUCUAAUCAAGGUGACUUCUGCUUUAUCACAUUUGCUGUCCUUAUUUGCCAAGCAAAGAUACUUUGUUGAUGAAUGCAUGCUUCUCUAAAAACCAGGAAAAAUCUUGCAAAUAAUGUUUUAGGAGUGCAAUGGGAUAGUAUGGGAGAACUAGUUAGAAUGCCAAAGGAUCAAACCCAAAAUCUUCCCUCUGACACCUGCCACAUAUCAGGAGAAACUCUCUCUGCCUGAAACACCAGGCAACCCCCUGUCCUAUCCUACUAAAAUAAUCAAAAAGACAAAUAUUCUGAUACUGGUCUACAGUCACCACCUCUUCAGGGCAAGAACUCUUGUUUGCCGUGUGACAUCCAGUCCUUUUUGUAUCUUUAUGUGAAAUCACUAAUAAAUUAUAUAAUAAAAAAAAAAUUUGUAAAAAUCUAAGCCAUAAGAACUGGGAGUGAUUUUCUAUACUAAGGAGUAGGUUGAUUUCCUUCAUUUUUAAUGGGCAGCACUCAGGUAGGGGUAAGAUUUUUAUAGGUAGAAAAGUAGGCUUAUACUUGCAGAAACCUCUCUGAUGGCUCUGCUUGCUGAAAGCCCCUCCUUUUGUUCAUCAAAAGGGAGCAAAAAAUGAGAAAGUUCAAAUGGAUGGCACUGGUUCACCAUGACCGAAAAAACUCUGGUGUCAUUUGACUCCACAAUGAUGUUUUUCGAUUGUCCAGCUAUCGGAUUUUGUUACAGAGCCCUUUCCACUAAAGCUCCUUCAGUUCUAGUACCUCACGAGGACAGCCAGCUGGGAACUCCAUCACUAUUGUAAGGCAACUUGAAUAGUGAGAGCUUUGCACAGUAAUUAUUACAAAACCAUUCUCACAGACUUCUUAGCAUCAGAAUUUCUAACAAUGGCCUACAACAUUACUGUUUUAUGUGCCAUAUAUUAUUCUACAAAAGGAGAGAUUUCUAGUUUCUAAAAAAUAAACUAUUUUAGGGCAUGAACACACUUCAGCUCACAGAAUCACUUUCAACCUUUUGAAAAAGGAAAAAUAAGGCAGCACUACAAAGGGAAUCUAACAGCCUGCCUCCAGGCUUGUGGACAGAGCUGCUCAUUGAUUUGCAACUAAUGGUUUGGAAACUCCGAUUACUGAAUGUUUACUAAGAAAAAUUCUGAUUAUAUUUUAGGCAAGCUUUUUUAUCUGCUACCUUUUAAUGUGUUAAUUUACUCUACUGAAAAGCCAAAGGGCCAAUUUCACCACUCUGAUCUGGCUUCUAUUGCUGAAGCAUCAUUGGAUGUGCACCGAAGGCACUAUUCAUCUGUGGAGAGAUCACUGAGUAAUAUUGUCAAACGCUUUUGAGUUGCACAUCCUUGUGGAAAAGAUAAAGGGAUUGUGAAGAGAAUGAGAAGGAAGAGAACAUCAGAGAUGAAGAAAACUAGAUAAAGGGCCAGGGAGAAACUGUUUGAUGUAAACAGAGUGACAGAUUAAGAACUCUCAUUAAAGCAUGCAGUUAUUUGCCUAUAAGCGAUUCAGACAGGGAAGUUGUUUACAACUCUGCCAAAAUCAACAGCAGAUGAAAAAAAAUCAUCAAUACUGGGAUUUUAAAUAAUAUUAAAUCUACUGUAUCCAAAAACUCACUAGGACUAUGCAAUGGAAAUACACAGCUCAGUGCCUUUAUAUUCUUUGUGACACUAAGUAAACAAGGUAAUGUACACUGACAUGCACGUCCUGCAGAAGCUAUUACUAAUAUGAGUAUGCCACUACUUGCUCCUUGGUUACGUUAGCAUGAAUAUAGCUCUGAAAAUACAUACUGGUGCCAAGAUUUUGUUACUGGUGUGGAGGAAAAACUAACUUUGUGAGGAGUGUGUAAUCUCAGGUAUGACCGUAUGUUAAGACAGAACCUGCUGUGACUUUACCAAGUUAGAAAAACAAAAUUUGGAGAUGUGCUGGAAAACUUAUGCUAUCACAAAAAGCAACCUGCACCAGAAAAUGUCCAUCAGAAAUUAUCCAGAUGCUAAGUAAAAAGCAACUGCUUUUGGAGCAGAUGGCAAUGGUCAAAUGAAUCAAAAGAACCUAGUCCCUUGCUCAACAUCAGUGAGG